AUGCAUACUUUCUGGUGCAACAGCAAGCGUUGGAGGAUUUUAGCGCCAAACAGGACAAAGCUAAUAAGCUUGCUAAGAUUAUUGCCAGCAUGGUGGAUACCACGUUUCUUGAGCUCUUAUGAAGUUGUUUCAGUUAUGCUCUUGUUUUGCUGCCGCGUUUAUUUGCACUGGUGGCCAAUUUUGACGGCCAGUGUAUGUAAUAUGCUGCUUUGUUCCCUAUAUUUGCACUGGUGGCGAACUUUGAUGCCCAGUGGAUGUAAUAUGUGUAAUAGCGGUAAUAGGCUAGCGUUAAUUGCUUGCUUAUUUAUUUAUUUCCUUAUUGUCUUGUUUAGUUGUUUGCUUGUAGUCACUGCAGUUCUUUUUCUGUGUUUUCUAGUGGCCACAAUAACCUAUUUUUGGAAACUAGGCCAAAAUAAUCAUGGCAACACAUGGACUGUUGUAACCACGGGCCUCCUGCGGGCCGUAUGA
This 468-nucleotide ribosomal RNA is filed under the name Triticum aestivum (bread wheat). RNAcentral's name for it is "partial small subunit ribosomal RNA". The record is from RNAcentral. Lineage: Eukaryota; Viridiplantae; Streptophyta; Magnoliopsida; Poales; Poaceae.